Molecule: ribosomal RNA, 509 nt
Filed under: uncultured bacterium
Lineage: Bacteria
Description: bacterial SSU rRNA
Rfam family: Bacterial small subunit ribosomal RNA
Source: RNAcentral
GAGUUUGAUCCUGGCUCAGGAUGAACGCUGGCGGCGUGCUUAACACAUGCAAGUCGAGCGGAGCACAUCGUUGGAAUCCUUCGGGAGGAAGAGGAUGUGGCUUAGCGGCGGACGGGUGAGUAACGCGUGGACAACCUGCCCUAUGCAGGGGGAUAACAUCCGGAAACGGGUGCUAAUACCGCAUAAGCGCACAGUACCGCAUGGUACAGUGUGAAAAGCUGAGGCGGCAUAGGAUGGGUCCGCGUUGGAUUAGGCAGUUGGCGGGGUAACGGCCCACCAAACCGACGAUCCAUAGCCGGCCUGAGAGGGUGGACGGCCACAUUGGGACUGAGACACGGCCCAGACUCCUACGGGAGGCAGCAGUGGGGAAUAUUGCACAAUGGGGGGAACCCUGAUGCAGCGACGCCGCGUGGGUGAGGAAGUACUUCGGUAUGUAAAGCCCUAUCAGCAGGGAAGAAAAUGACGGUACCUGACUAAGAAGCCCCGGCUAACUACGUGCCAGCAGCCGC